UGGGCGGGGCUUGUCAAUGAGCUCACCGUUUAGCCAGAGCAUAGCCAUUUUUAUAUUUGAAUUUUCUGAACUUCUGGUUGGAAUAAGUUUAGAAAAAUGUCCCUUAACAGCAGAGACGUUUUUAUUUUUGUGUUUUUCUGUUUUUUCUGCAACAUGAUAAAGUCCCGCUUAGUUACAGCAAAUACCAGGUAGUCCAGGCUCAAACAAACAAAGCCAAACAAGACAGCAUCCUCAUGUGCCUGUUUUUGGGGGGCGGGGGUGAGUGUCGACCCGAUCACUGUUGCCAUUUUUGUUCAAGUUCCUCAAAAGACCGUCCUGCCAAGCACAGGGGGACCAUGUGUCCAUCAAAGUCAGGCUGAUAUGAGGCGUGAGGGCUGAGGCCUCCACGAGAGAUGGAAGGACGGGACUGACUCAUGCAGAAGCUCAGGAAUCAGGAUGUCACUCUCAGCACAGCACACUGCCAUAGUGCAUCAGCCCACACUGAUCCUAUGGAGAAACUUCUGGAUCAAGUGCAGUAUUUACCAGUGUCAGGUGCUGACACUUACCGUUU
Long non-coding RNA from Oreochromis niloticus (Nile tilapia), 550 nucleotides. RefSeq lists it as uncharacterized. NCBI's taxonomy places the organism in Eukaryota, Metazoa, Chordata, Actinopteri, Cichliformes, Cichlidae. The transcript is spliced from 3 exons. The record is from RefSeq and is a predicted model, not a curated record.